Molecule: transfer RNA, 75 nt
Filed under: Thermoprotei archaeon
Lineage: Archaea; Thermoproteati; Thermoproteota; Thermoprotei
Also listed under: 4 other names
Description: tRNA-Arg
Rfam family: tRNA
About the family: Transfer RNA (tRNA) molecules are approximately 80 nucleotides in length. Their secondary structure includes four short double-helical elements and three loops (D, anti-codon, and T loops). Further hydrogen bonds mediate the characteristic L-shaped molecular structure. tRNAs have two regions of fundamental functional importance: the anti-codon, which is responsible for specific mRNA codon recognition, and the 3' end, to which the tRNAs corresponding amino acid is attached (by aminoacyl-tRNA synthetases). tRNAs cope with the degeneracy of the genetic code in two manners: having more than one tRNA (with a specific anti-codon) for a particular amino acid; and 'wobble' base-pairing, i.e. permitting non-standard base-pairing at the 3rd anti-codon position.
Source: RNAcentral
GGGCCUGUGGCCUAACCUGGAUAGGGCGGCAGCCCCCUAAGCUGUAGAUUGUGGGUUCAAAUCCCACCAGGCCCG